RNAcentral lists this ribosomal RNA (303 nucleotides) under uncultured bacterium. Its description in RNAcentral is "partial 16S ribosomal RNA". It matches the Rfam family "Bacterial small subunit ribosomal RNA", at positions 507 to 807 of the family's 1533-position model. The record is from RNAcentral.
AGCAGUAGCCACGGUAAUACAGAGGGUGCGAGCGUUAAUCGGAUUUACUGGGCGUAAAGCGUGCGUAGGCGGCUUUUUAAGUCGGAUGUGAAAUCCCUGAGCUUAACUUAGGAAUUGCAUUCGAUACUGGGAAGCUAGAGUAUGGGAGAGGAUGGUAGAAUUCCAGGUGUAGCAGUGAAAUGCGUAGAGAUCGGAAGGAACAUCUGUGGCGAAGGCGACUAUCUGGGCCAACACUGACACUGAGGCACGAAAGCGUGGGGAGCAAACAGGAUUAGAUACCCGAGUAGUCCCUGUCUCUUAUAC